RNAcentral lists this ribosomal RNA (490 nucleotides) under uncultured bacterium. RNAcentral's name for it is "partial 16S ribosomal RNA". It matches the Rfam family "Bacterial small subunit ribosomal RNA", at positions 30 to 507 of the family's 1533-position model. The record is from RNAcentral.
UGAACGCUGGCGGUAGGCCUAACACAUGCACGUCGAACGGCAGCACAGUAAGAGCUUGCUCUUACGGGUGGCGAGUGGCGGACGGGUGAGGAAUACAUCGGAAUCUACUUUUUCGUGGGGGAUAACGUAGGGAAACUUACGCUAAUACCGCAUACGACCUACGGGUGAAAGCAGGGGAUCUUCGGACCUUGCGCGAUUGAAUGAGCCGAUGUCGGAUGAGCUAGUUGGCGGGGUAAAGGCCCACCAAGGCGACGAUCCGUAGCUGGUCUGAGAGGAUGAUCAGCCACACUGGAACUGAGACACGGUCCAGACUCCUACGGGAGGCAGCAGUGGGGAAUAUUGGACAAUGGGCGCAAGCCUGAUCCAGCCAUACCGCGUGGGUGAAGAAGGCCUUCGGGUUGUAAAGCCCUUUUGUUGGGAAAGAAAAGCAGCAGGUUAAUACCCCGCUGUUCUGACGGUACCCAAAGAAUAAGCACCGGCUAACUUCGUG